This 91-nucleotide transfer RNA is filed under the name Candidatus Wallbacteria bacterium HGW-Wallbacteria-1. RNAcentral's name for it is "tRNA-Ser". It matches the Rfam family "tRNA". From Rfam's summary of the family: Transfer RNA (tRNA) molecules are approximately 80 nucleotides in length. Their secondary structure includes four short double-helical elements and three loops (D, anti-codon, and T loops). Lineage: Bacteria; Candidatus Walliibacteriota. The record is from RNAcentral.
GGAGGAGUGGCUGAGUGGUCGAAAGCGCUCGACUCGAAAUCGAGUGGGCGGUGACCCCGCCCCGUGAGUUCAAAUCUCACCUCCUCCGUCA